Molecule: ribosomal RNA, 542 nt
Filed under: fungal sp. SNB-GSS16
Lineage: Eukaryota; Fungi
Description: LSU rRNA
Rfam family: 5.8S ribosomal RNA (bases 208-361)
Source: RNAcentral
CUUCCGUAGGGUGAACCUGCGGAGGGAUCAUUGCUGGAACGCGCCCCAGGCGCACCCAGAAACCCUUUGUGAACUUAUACCUUUUGUUGCCUCGGCGCAUGCUGGCCUCUAGUAGGCCCCUCACCCCGGUGAGGAGAAGGCACGCCGGCGGCCAAGUUAACUCUUGUUUUUACACUGAAACUCUGAGAAAAAACACAAAUGAAUCAAAACUUUCAACAACGGAUCUCUUGGUUCUGGCAUCGAUGAAGAACGCAGCGAAAUGCGAUAAGUAAUGUGAAUUGCAGAAUUCAGUGAAUCAUCGAAUCUUUGAACGCACAUUGCGCCCUCUGGUAUUCCGGAGGGCAUGCCUGUUCGAGCGUCAUUUCAACCCUCAAGCAUUGCUUGGUGUUGGGGCACUGCUUCUAACGAAGCAGGCCCUGAAAUCUAGUGGCGAGCUCGCCAGGACCCCGAGCGUAGUAGUUAAACCCUCGCUCUGGAAGGCCCUGGCGGUGCCCUGCCGUUAAACCCCCAACUUUUGAAAAUUUGACCUCGGAUCAGGUAGA